RNAcentral lists this transfer RNA (68 nucleotides) under Sinaechinocyamus mai. Its description in RNAcentral is "tRNA-Gly". Lineage: Eukaryota; Metazoa; Echinodermata; Echinoidea; Clypeasteroida; Taiwanasteridae. The record is from RNAcentral.
GCUCUAUGAAUACAGCAGUAUUUUUGACUUCCAAUCAAACCGUCUUAGUGAGAAUCUAAGAUAGAGCA